CCCCGGCUUAACCGGGGAGGGUCAUUGGAAACUGGGGAAACUUUGAGUGCAGAAGAGGAGAGUGGAAUUUCCACGUGUAGCGGUGAAAUGCGUAGAGAUGUGGAGGAACACCAGUGGCGAAGGCGACUCUCUGGUCUGUAACUGACGCUGAGGAGCGAAAGCGUGGGGAGCGAACAGGAUUAGAUACCCUGGUAGUCCACGCCGUAAACGAUGAGUGCUAAGUGUUAGGGGGUUUCCGCCCCUUAGUGCUGCAGCUAACGCAUUAAGCACUCCGCCUGGGGAGUACGGUCGCAAGACUGAAACUCAAAGGAAUUGACGGGGGCCCGCACAAGCGGUGGAGCAUGUGGUUUAAUUCGAAGCAACGCGAAGAACCUUACCAGGUCUUGACAUCCUCUGACAAUCCUAGAGAUAGGACGUCCCCUUCGGGGGCAGAGUGACAGGUGGUGCAUGGUUGUCGUCAGCUCGUGUCGUGAGAUGUUGGGUUAAGUCCCGCAACGAGCGCAACCCUUGAUCUUAGUUGCCAGCAUUCAGUUGGGCACUCUAAGGUGACUGCCGGUGACAAACCGGAGGAAGGUGGGGAUGACGUCAAAUCAUCAUGCCCCUUAUGACCUGGGCUACACACGUGCUACA
Molecule: ribosomal RNA, 630 nt
Filed under: Bacillus subtilis
Lineage: Bacteria; Bacillati; Bacillota; Bacilli; Caryophanales; Bacillaceae
Description: bacterial SSU rRNA
Rfam family: Bacterial small subunit ribosomal RNA
Source: RNAcentral